This 434-nucleotide ribosomal RNA is filed under the name uncultured Lachnospiraceae bacterium. RNAcentral's name for it is "partial 16S ribosomal RNA". It matches the Rfam family "Bacterial small subunit ribosomal RNA", at positions 341 to 792 of the family's 1533-position model. The record is from RNAcentral. Lineage: Bacteria; Bacillati; Bacillota; Clostridia; Lachnospirales; Lachnospiraceae.
ACGGAAGGCAGCAGUGGGGAAUAUUGCACAAUGGGGGAAACCCUGAUGCAGCGACGCCGCGUGAGUGAAGAAGUAUUUCGGUAUGUAAAGCUCUAUCAGCAGGAAAGAAAAUGACGGUACCUGACUAAGAAGCCCCGGCUAACUACGUGCCAGCAGCCGCGGUCAUACGUAGGGGGCAAGCGUUAUCCGGAUUUACUGGGUGUAAAGGGAGCGUAGACGGCUUUGCAAGUCUGAAGUGAAAGCCCGGGGCUCAACCCCGGAACUGCUUUGGAAACUGUAGAGCUAGAGUGCAGGAGAGGUAAGUGGAAUUCCUAGUGUAGCGGUGAAAUGCGUAGAUAUUAGGAGGAACACCAGUGGCGAAGGCGGCUUACUGGACUGUAACUGACGUUGAGGCUCGAAGGCGUGGGGAGCAAACAGGAUUAGAUACCCUGGUA